AACAAGUAGCGGAAGCUUACAUGCUCAAGAGGGAUCACCCGAAAUUCAAAGGCAAUUGAAUUUCGGCAACCGGGCAGCCGGGGCGUCGAAAGUCGGAAUGCCGCGAAACUCACCGGGUCAAUGCGUUUCGACGUUUGGAGUCAAAGUCAGCGGCUAUGCCCCUGAUGUCCACCCAAUUUUGGUCAAAUUCCAUCGUUUCGGCCCCGAAAUCGUCAUUUUUGCCAUUUUAGGAAAGUUUUGUUUUAGCCAUAACUUUUGAUUUCCAAGUCCGAAUUGACUUCCGUCAAUUCCUGCUUGCUCAGGAUUUAU
Molecule: long non-coding RNA, 309 nt
Filed under: Populus tremula
Lineage: Eukaryota; Viridiplantae; Streptophyta; Magnoliopsida; Malpighiales; Salicaceae
Description: long non-coding RNA (PTRE_LNC003363)
Source: RNAcentral